GCCAGCAGCCAUAUCACCCUGUAGCCCAAGACUGGUUGCCCACUGAAGCUAAGCAGGGCUGAGCCUGGUCAGUACCUGGAUGGGAGACCUCCUGGGAAAACUAGGUUGCUGCUGGAA
Molecule: ribosomal RNA, 117 nt
Organism: Sinocyclocheilus anshuiensis
Lineage: Eukaryota; Metazoa; Chordata; Actinopteri; Cypriniformes; Cyprinidae
Source: Ensembl